RNAcentral lists this ribosomal RNA (253 nucleotides) under uncultured bacterium. RNAcentral's name for it is "partial 16S ribosomal RNA". It matches the Rfam family "Bacterial small subunit ribosomal RNA", at positions 524 to 776 of the family's 1533-position model. The record is from RNAcentral.
UACGUAGGGUGCGAGCGUUAUUCGGAAUUACUGGGCGUAAAGCGUGCGCAGGCGGCUCGUUAAGUCAGAUGUGAAAGCCCCGAGCUCAACUUGGGAACUGCAUUUGAAACUGGCGGGCUGGAGUGUGGCAGAGGGGGGUGGAAUUCCACGUGUAGCAGUGAAAUGCGUAGAGAUGUGGAGGAACACCGAUGGCGAAGGCAGCCCCCUGGGCCAACACUGACGCUCAGGCACGAAAGCGUGGGGAGCAAACAGG